This 577-nucleotide long non-coding RNA is filed under the name Brassica napus (rape). RNAcentral's name for it is "long non-coding RNA (BNAP_LNC013728)". Lineage: Eukaryota; Viridiplantae; Streptophyta; Magnoliopsida; Brassicales; Brassicaceae. The record is from RNAcentral.
UUCACACUAAAAGAUCAUUUCAUCAUUCAUCCAAAGGAAACUUACAAGGGUGUGAUACAUGGAUGGGAUGCGUUUUGAUAAACAGAGCUAGCAAGAACAUAAGUUCCUAGAGACAACAGGCAGCAUAAUUACAUGAAUUCUCUGGAGCCAAAAUUAAACUAAACAACCAAGAUUAAAGCUCAGAACCAGCAGAAGCUUAGAAACAUUAAACAAGAGCCAAAGCAAAUGAAGCCAUCGCAGGAGAAGGAAGGAGAUAAGCGCACACCACAGACAAACACUAUAACCGAGUAUCAAAAUGCUAUUUAUCAUCACAUUUUAUAUAAUAACGAAGAAUUAUUACGCCUAGAAGAAGUGUCAAUGAGCUGGAGUCAUAAAAACCACAUUGUCCCCUAAAAUUAGGCCUAGAUAUUGUAAAUAUUCAGGCAUUUUGUUGAGCAAUGAGUGCUUAAUAAUUUGGACAUAUUGUCAUCAUUAGUUAUAACAAAUUCUCCUUUUCAUUUCCUUGACUAAAGUACAUCUAUAUGGGGAUAUAAACAUAUGUAAAAGGGUCUUCCUGCCCGAAAAAGACAAAGUAAGA